Molecule: ribosomal RNA, 403 nt
Filed under: Actinomycetes bacterium
Lineage: Bacteria; Bacillati; Actinomycetota; Actinomycetes
Description: Actinobacteria bacterium partial 16S ribosomal RNA
Rfam family: Bacterial small subunit ribosomal RNA
Source: RNAcentral
UGGGGAAUAUUGCACAAUGGGGGAAACCCUGAUGCAGCGACGUCGCGUGAACGAAGAAGGUAUUCGUAUCGUAAAGUUCUGUCCUAUGGGAAGAUAAUGACAGUACCAUAGAAGAAAGCUCCGGCUAAAUACGUGCCAGCAGCCGCGGUAAUACGUAUGGAGCGAGCGUUGUCCGGAAUUAUUGGGCGUAAAGGGUACGCAGGCGGUUUAAUAAGUCGAAUGUUAAAGAUCGGGGCUCAACCCCGUAAAGCAUUGGAAACUGAUAAACUUGAGUAGUGGAGAGGAAAGUGGAAUUCCUAGUGUAGUGGUGAAAUACGUAGAUAUUAGGAGGAAUACCAGUAGCGAAGGCGACUUUCUGGACACAAACUGACGCUGAGGUACGAAAGCGUGGGGAGCAAACAGG